GACGAACGUUGGCGGCGUGCCUAAUACAUGCAAGUCAACUGAAAUACCGGUAGCAAUACUGGUAUGGAGGUGGCGCACGGGUGAGUAACACGUAGGUAAUCUGCCUUCAGGUCUGACAUAACCCAUCGAAAGGUGAGCUAAUAUCAGAUGAUGCAGCGGCUUGACAUCAAGACAGUUGUUAAAGCUUCGGCGCCUGAAGAUGAGCCUGCGUCUGAUUAGCUAGUUGGCGGGGUAACGGCCCACCAAGGCUGCGAUCAGUAGCUGGUCUGAGAGGAUGAUCAGUCACACUGGAACUGAGACACGGUCCACGACCCC
Molecule: ribosomal RNA, 315 nt
Filed under: uncultured bacterium
Lineage: Bacteria
Description: bacterial SSU rRNA
Rfam family: Bacterial small subunit ribosomal RNA
Source: RNAcentral